UUUGUGGAGAGUUUGAUCCUGGCUCAGGACGAACGCUGGCGGCGUGCUUAACACAUGCAAGUCGAACGCUGAAACCGG
Molecule: ribosomal RNA, 78 nt
Filed under: Corynebacterium glutamicum
Lineage: Bacteria; Bacillati; Actinomycetota; Actinomycetes; Mycobacteriales; Corynebacteriaceae
Description: partial 16S ribosomal RNA
Rfam family: Bacterial small subunit ribosomal RNA
Source: RNAcentral